RNAcentral lists this ribosomal RNA (440 nucleotides) under uncultured bacterium. RNAcentral's name for it is "partial 16S ribosomal RNA". It matches the Rfam family "Bacterial small subunit ribosomal RNA", at positions 338 to 795 of the family's 1533-position model. The record is from RNAcentral.
CCUACGGGAGACAGCAGUGGGGAAUAUUGCACAAUGGAGGCAACCCUGAUGCAGCGACGCAGCGUGAGUGAAGACGUCCUUCUUUGUGUAAAGCUCUAUCAGCAGGGAGGAAAAUUACGUUACCUGCGUAAGACUCCCCGGCUCACUCCGUUCCAGCAGCCGCGGUAAUACGGAGGGGGCAAGCGUUAUCCGGAUUUACUGGGUGUAAAGGGAGCGUAGACGGCAGUGCAAGUCUGGAGUGAAAGGCGGGGGCUCAACCCCCGGACUGCUCUGGAAACUGUACGGCUGGAGUGCAGGAGAGGUAAGUGGAAUUCCUAGUGUAGCGGUGAAAUGCGUAGAUAUUAGGAGGAACACCAGUGGCGAAGGCGGCUUACUGUAGUGUAACUGACGUUGAGGCUCGAAAGCGUGGGGAGCAAACAGGAUUAGAUACCCGAGUAGUC